CCUACAAUGGCUGAUGUUUCUGUUGUUUAUAACCUUUGCCACUAACCAGAUCGAGUCUCUGCUGGUGUAUGAUCGCCAGGCUCUUUUGAAUCUUCGACAUAAUGUCGGAGAGUUACGUGCAUUUAAGCAUAGUGGGCAGAAAACUGUGCCCCCGCUUCUAGCGGGGAUCCCGACUCACCUGUGCCGGGCCUCUGCUCCACCUCCUCGGCGGAAGCGUCCCCGCCGCCGCGGCAAACGCGGCGGCCGGCUGGUGAAGCUGAAAGUCUGGCUGGCACAAUCUUCGUCCAUUUCCCGGACAGGACAUGGACGUAUUCAUCCCUUCGCCGUGCCUCGGCGUUUCCUGGAUCCCAUCGAUGCCUGCCUCGUACCUGUCGCCGGCUCGUUUGAGGGACUCCGGCUCCGCCGCACCUGCCCUCCUCGGCUUUCUCAGCGCGGCGUGAACCCCCGGCUCCUGAGGAUGCUGCCACGGGCUUCGCCACCUGCCGAACUGAAGCCCCCGGCCCCCGCCAGGUUCGGGCUGGUGAACGCCAGAUCACUGGUAAACAAAACGUUUAUCCUGAGGGACUUUUUCAACUCCCGUGGCCUGGACUUCCUCUGUGUGACAGAGACGUGGAUCGGUGCCGGUGAGUGCAGCCCCCUGAUCGAACUUCUACCGGCCGGCUGUUCUUAUUUAAACUCCCCGCGAUCGUCGGGUCGUGGAGGAGGGACGGCGACUGUUUAUAAAAACGGUUUUAAUUGUAGGCAGCCCGCUGUCUCAUCCUCUUUUUCCAGCUUUGAAGCAAAUGUAUUUGAGGUGGGUCGCUCAGACCCAGUGCUGUGUGCCGUCAUCUACCGACCGCCCAAAUACAAUAAAGACUUCCUAAAUGACUUCUCUGAUCUUCUGGCUGAAAUCAUGCCUAAGUAUGAUCGUGUCCUCCUUGUAGGGGAUUUUAACAUUCAUGUGUGCUGUCCUGAAAAACCGUUGGUGAAGGACUUUUUAAGCCUUAUUGACUCUUUUAAUUUGGAGCAGUGUGUGUCUGGUCCCACACACGAACGUGGACACACAUUAGACCUCGUCCUCUGUCAUGGUUUAUCUGUGUCAAACGUGGAAAUCUGUGACAAUGUGUUUUCCGAUCAUUUGCCGGUACUGUUUGAAGCUGCUGUCUCCUGUGCUGCAGUUAAAUCUGCCGCUCCUGCUCGCUGCCGUCGGAUUUUUAACCCCGUCACUGCCGGUCAGUUCUCCGCUGCCUUCAACCAGCUCUGUGUCCCCUCUGACUUAACAUCUGCAAACACGGAGGUGCUCAGCUCCUGGUUUCACUCCUCCUGCCGAAACAUACUGGACUCUGUGGCUCCAUUUAAAACGGUGCAGCCCAAAGCUAAACCUGAGCCCUGGUUCAAUGGGAGAACUCGCGCAGCCAGACAGGAGUGCCGCAAAGCUGAACGCAGGUGGAAAAAGGACAAGCUGCAUGUGUCUCACCAAAUCCUAAAAGACUGCUGGCGCUGCUACCAGAACACUGUUAAAGAGGCCAGAAGAGAGCACCUGUCAAACAUUAUUGAAUCAAAUUCUCACAACCCGCGUGUGUUAUUUAAAACCAUAGAAUCUGUUCUUGGCUCACCUCAGCCCGCGUGCACAGAGGAGUCCCCCGAAAUGUGCAAUAGCUUCCUGCAAUUCUUCAUUGAUAAGGUUGCUAUUGCAAGAGCUCUCAUUACCACACCUGCAUCUGACCCCUCUGACCAUGUUCUCUGCUCAGCUGUGUUUGAUUUGUUUGAGCCUGUGUCUCUGAUGGCUUUAGAAGAUGUGGUUGGCCAGAUUAAGCCAUCAGGCUCUCCCUGUGACAUUGUCCCGCCUCACUUUUUUAAAGAGGUUUUCCCUUGUAUAGGGCAGUCAGUACUGACCAUUAUUAACAGCAGUUUAUCUUCUGGUGUUGUCCCCCAAAGUUUUAAACAUGCUGUGGUGCAACCCCUGCUUAAGAAACCUAGCCUUGAUCGUGGUAUGCUAGCUAAUUAUAGACCUAUCUCCAAGCUGCCUUUUAUCUCUAAAAUCCUGGAAAAAGUCGUCCAAGUUCAGUUAAAGGCUUUCCUGGAUGACCAUGACAUCCUGGAAGUUUUCCAAUCU
Long non-coding RNA from Sparus aurata (gilthead seabream), 2095 nucleotides. Lineage: Eukaryota; Metazoa; Chordata; Actinopteri; Spariformes; Sparidae. The record is from Ensembl.